UUCCCCUAGUNACUGCGAGUGAAGCGGGAAAAGCUCAAAUUUAAAAUCUGGUGGUUUUGCCAUCCGAGUUGUAAUCUGGAGAAGCGUUUUCUGUGCUGGACCGUGUACAAGUCUCUUGGAACAGAGCGUCAUAGAGGGUGAGAAUCCCGUCCAUGACACGGACACCCAGUGCUAUGUGAUACGUUUUCAAAGAGUCGAGUUGUUUGGGAAUGCAGCUCAAAAUGGGUGGUAAGCUCCAUCUAAAGCUAAAUAUUGGCGAGAGACCGAUAGCGAACAAGUACCGUGAGGGAAAGAUGAAAAGCACUUUGGAAAGAGAGUUAAACAGUACGUGAAAUUGUUGAAAGGGAAACGCUUGAAGUUAGUCGCGUCUUACUUGACUCAGCCUUGCUUCGGCUUGGUGUAUUUCAUGUGAGACGGGUCAACAUCGAUUUUGACCGGCAGACAAGGGGAGUAAGAAUGUGGCACUCUUCGGAGUGUGUUAUAGCUUAUUCUCAUAUGUGUCGGUUGGGAUCGAGGACCGCAGCGCGCCCUUGUGGCCGGAGGUUCGCCUCACGUUACGCGCUUAGGAUGUUGGCAUAAUGGCUUUAAGCGACCCGUCUUGAAACACGGACCAAGGAGUCUAACAUGCUCGCGAGUGUUAGGGUGGAAAACCCUUGCGCAGAAUGAAAGUAAAAGUUGGGAACCUCCGCAAGGGGGCGCACCGACGCCCGGCCCAGAAGUUUACGGACGGUGCUGCGGUAGAGCGCGUAUGUUGGGACCCGAAAGAUGGUGAACUAUGCCUGAAUAGGGCGAAGCCAGGGGAAACCCUGUGUGGAGGCUCGUAGCGAUUCUGACGUGCAAAUCGAUCGUCAAAUUUGGG
This 859-nucleotide ribosomal RNA is filed under the name Fuscoporia scruposa. Its description in RNAcentral is "Fuscoporia sp. CL-2018d partial large subunit ribosomal RNA". It matches the Rfam family "Eukaryotic large subunit ribosomal RNA", at positions 75 to 915 of the family's 3401-position model. The record is from RNAcentral. Lineage: Eukaryota; Fungi; Basidiomycota; Agaricomycetes; Hymenochaetales; Hymenochaetaceae.